This is a long non-coding RNA of Cygnus atratus (black swan), 347 nucleotides long. RefSeq lists it as uncharacterized. The record is from RefSeq and is a predicted model, not a curated record. NCBI's taxonomy places the organism in Eukaryota, Metazoa, Chordata, Aves, Anseriformes, Anatidae. The transcript has 3 exons.
AGAGUGUUAUCACAUGUGGAGGGGGAGAGGGAAUGUCAGUCCCAGUAGAAGCACCCACUGAAGAGGGACAACUUAGCACUGAACGUUUUAAGGAUGAGACACAAUCUGUUUGGAAGCGAGUCAUAAGUAAAUAAAACAUAUAAAGGAGUAACACAGCCCUGCAGAGCCAUAAGGGUGGAUCCAGAAGGUGGGACUCAAGUGAAUUCCAUGCCAAAAUGUUGACAGCAUCUGAUGCAUGUGAGAGGUAUGCUGAGCGCCCAGAACUGCCUGUCCCACUGAACAUAAUACUGUGCAGACACCAGUUGGGGUAGAUUUGAACACAGUAAUCAUUUAUUUGUCAUAAAAAC